UGGGGGAAAUAUUGGGCAAUGGGCGAAAGCCUGACCCAGCAACGCCGCGUGAGGGAAGUAAGGGUUUCGGCUCGUAAACCUCUGUCCUAUGGGACGUAAGGAAGUGACGGUACCAUAGGAGGAAGCCCCGGCUAACUACGUGCC
RNAcentral lists this ribosomal RNA (144 nucleotides) under uncultured bacterium. Its description in RNAcentral is "partial 16S ribosomal RNA". It matches the Rfam family "Bacterial small subunit ribosomal RNA", at positions 353 to 509 of the family's 1533-position model. The record is from RNAcentral.